GCGGACGUGGUGAAAUUGGUAGACACACCAGAUUUAGGUUCUGGCGCCGUAAGGUGUGAGAGUUCGAGUCUCUCCGUCCGCACCA
This 85-nucleotide transfer RNA is filed under the name Stutzerimonas stutzeri. RNAcentral's name for it is "Pseudomonas stutzeri tRNA-Leu". It matches the Rfam family "tRNA". Rfam says of the family: Transfer RNA (tRNA) molecules are approximately 80 nucleotides in length. Their secondary structure includes four short double-helical elements and three loops (D, anti-codon, and T loops). Further hydrogen bonds mediate the characteristic L-shaped molecular structure. tRNAs have two regions of fundamental functional importance: the anti-codon, which is responsible for specific mRNA codon recognition, and the 3' end, to which the tRNAs corresponding amino acid is attached (by aminoacyl-tRNA synthetases). tRNAs cope with the degeneracy of the genetic code in two manners: having more than one tRNA (with a specific anti-codon) for a particular amino acid; and 'wobble' base-pairing, i.e. permitting non-standard base-pairing at the 3rd anti-codon position. RNAcentral also lists the same sequence under 5 other names. Lineage: Bacteria; Pseudomonadati; Pseudomonadota; Gammaproteobacteria; Pseudomonadales; Pseudomonadaceae. The record is from RNAcentral.